Non-coding RNA from Ixodes scapularis (black-legged tick), 82 nucleotides. The record is from Rfam. NCBI's taxonomy places the organism in Eukaryota, Metazoa, Arthropoda, Arachnida, Ixodida, Ixodidae.
GCAGUCGUGGCCGAGUGGUUAACGUGAUGGACUAGAGAUCCAUUGGGAUCUCCCCGCAGAGGUUCGAAUCCUGUCGACUGCA